This 347-nucleotide unclassified non-coding RNA is filed under the name soil metagenome. RNAcentral's name for it is "partial contains 5.8S ribosomal RNA, internal transcribed spacer 2, and large subunit ribosomal RNA". The stretch from base 1 to 120 matches the Rfam family "5.8S ribosomal RNA", at positions 35 to 154 of the family's 154-position model. The record is from RNAcentral.
GAUGAAGAACGUAGCGAAAUGCGAUAAGUAAUGUGAAUUGCAGAAUUCAGUGAAUCAUCGAGUCUUUGAACGCACAUUGCGCCCCCUGGUAUUCCGGGGGGCAUGCCUGUCCGAGCGUCAUUGCUGCCCUCAAGCACGGCUUGUGUGUUGGGCCCCCGUCCCCGGUUUCCCCCGGGGACGGGCCCGAAAGGCAGCGGCGGCACCGCGUCCGGUCCUCGAGCGUAUGGGGCUUUGUCACCCGCUCUGUAGGCCCGGCCGGCGCCAGCCGACACCCAACUUUAUUUCUAAGGUUGACCUCGGAUCAGGUAGGGAUACCCGCUGAACUUAAGCAUAUAAUAAGCGGAGGA